ACGUCGCCUCUGUUCUACGGCCGUUGUUUGUUCCAAUUCCAUCGCCUGUGCUCCACUGCUCCCUCUCCCUCAACUCGAGGCUAUUUCAAUAGUAAAUAAUGCAUGCUGGGCUAUUGGAGAACUUGCAGUUAAGGGACUCAACAAGUCACUCAUAGAGGGAAUAAAGAGGGAAGAGAGGAAUUUCUUGUAGUGUUACUGAGCCACAUUCAGAUCUUGAGGGUGACAAUGAGGAGGUACUUUCAGUUUGCUUUGGGUUGGAUAAAUUGUGAGUUGGUUAAUUUGUUGUAACUGUUAGUUAGUUAGAAAUCAGAAGUUAGUUUGUUUCAGAUUUUGACAAUUUGCUACACUAUAUCUAUUAGACUAGCAUAUGUUAUAACAGUUAUUUUAGUUUUAGAAGUUAGUGUCAAUUAGUUUCAAAUUCUGAUCAUUGUAGAACUUGAUAGGAAGGAAUUUAAUUCAAAAGCUGUAAUCUUGCAUGUUUCUAAAUUCUAAGUGGUCGGUUCAGUCCCCUAUUGCAGCUCUUUUCCAUUUCUUGAAGAUAAGUAUUGUUCAUAAGUAUAGCAAUGGUCGUACUAAUAAGGUGAGUUGCAGAAGGAUCUAAAUGUGGGUGUACAUGGUGAACUAGUGAACUAGUGAAGUCAAAGUUUAUCAAGUGAUUGCCUUAAUAUUGAAUAUUGAAUGGCAGGGUCAACAAGGUUUCACGUUCAAAAAUCAGAGGAGGAAUUGAGGCCAUUCUCUGUCUGCCUCUGUCUGUCUCCCUCAUGAAUUCACAGACAGUAAAGAGAGGACAAGGAAUAGAGGAAUAGCCAAAGCACCAGGGAGAAAAAACAGGAGCGUUUUUCAAGUUUUUGGCUCUUCAUCAACCAUAGCACCAAGAGAAAGAGAAUGAUGGCCAAGGAGGGAGCUGACUGAAGCUUAAGAGGGAGCUAUGUUCCACUCACCCAACUGUUCUUCGAGUUUCUUUGCUAGUUGAGGACAACGACUUCAUCUUCUUUCUUUUCUCCUCUAAUUCAAAAUUCUGAUAAUUCUCUUGCUCCAUUUUUUUUCAGUUUUAUUCAAUUUCUGUAAACACAACUACCACCACAAGCAAAGAGAGGUGAGUGAUUUUCUCUCUUCUGUGUUUAAUUUGGUCGAAUGGCCUUGUGAAAUGUAACCAAAAUUCUGGUUCUUGGAACGGUUAAGGUUUAGGCUCAAGAGAAAAACAGGGACAAGUCUUGUGUAUUUGAUCAACAAAGAGGUAAAGGUUAGAAUAGUUAGAUAUUGAUUUUAGCUGUAUUUGGUGAUUAAAUGGCAGAAACCUUUCCAUUGAGUAUGCUUAUUCUCAAAUAAGUUAG
Long non-coding RNA from Arachis duranensis, 1334 nucleotides. RefSeq lists it as uncharacterized. NCBI's taxonomy places the organism in Eukaryota, Viridiplantae, Streptophyta, Magnoliopsida, Fabales, Fabaceae. The transcript has 3 exons. The record is from RefSeq and is a predicted model, not a curated record.